CCAUGUUUGUUGAAGCACUGUUCACAGUAGCCAAGACUUGGAAGCAACCUCAGUGUCCAUCAACAGAUGAAUGGAAACAAACACCUAGGCAUGUGAUACUUAAACUGGUGAAAACCAAAAGGAAUAUAUAAGACAUAUUAAAGAAAGUCCUUCAGGCAGAAAAAAAGAAGGUGUCAGUUGGAAAUCUAGAUCUACACUUAAGAAUGGAAUAAUUUAAGGAAGAAUAAAAUUCAUUUUUUCAGAGUUAUAAUUGUUCUGAAAAAAUAGCUAAUUAUCUAAAGCAAAACUAGUAACAAUGCAUUGUGUGUUAAACACACCACAAACGCUCCCAUUGCCAAUUCUGAAUCCUUAGGAUUCAUUAAGUCUUUACUAAACUCUAAAGAUCACAUUUAUGGUGGCAGCACACAGGAAAAUACAGAUUGUGGAAUAAAGUGAACCUGGACUCAAGCUCCAUGUGCCUUGAUUCAUACCUGCAUGACCUUGGACACCUAACUCUCUAAACUUUAGCAAUUAAACGCUGAACAGAAUGCCCCUCAGAACAGAUCCCCACAGGGAACUCUCAACCCCGCCACGUCCACUGAGGCUUCCUGGUGAGACUUGGUACAUAUAUAUUUUUUUUUAGUAGAGACGGGGUUUCACCGUGUUAGCCAGGAUGGUCUCGAUCUCCUGACCUCGUGAUCCAUCAAAAGCUUAUGUAGGCAAACCCAGAGAAAAUUAAAGAGAUCAUUGCAUAUGCAAAUGUACUGCUAAUUGCAAAUGUAUUGCUUUAGGGAAAAAGCCUCUCAGGACCAGUAUCUGGUAAAAACAAAAUGCUGAUUGGUAUAAAUAAAUAUACACUUACAUGUGAUAAAAACCAAUUUUCCUUAUUUUCUAAUCUGCAUCAGUUAGGUUUCUCUUUGUCAUGAAGCACCUCAAAAUUCAGUGGCUGAAAACCACAGUCAACCAUCCGGCAGUUUGCCAUAGGUACACGAGUGGGCUAAGCCAAGUCCAGAAAAACCUUCCCAGCCCAGCUCAGCCCAAAUGGCAGACCCAGAUAAUUAGAUGCUGUAUUAGUCUGUUUUCAUGCUGCUGAUAAAGACAUAUCUAAGACUGGGAAGAAAAAGAGGUUUAAUGGCUGAAGUAGCUUAUCAGCUUAAGGAGAUUUUGGGCUGAGAUGAUGGGGUUUUCUAAAUAUACAGUCAUGCCAUCUGCAAAUAGGGACAAUUUGACUUCCUCUUUUCCUAAUUGAAUACCCUUUCUUUCUUUCUCUUGCCUGAUUGCCCUGGCCAGAACUUCCAACACUGUGUUGAAUAGGAGUGGUGAAAGAGGGCAUCCUGUCUUGUGCCAG
This 1327-nucleotide long non-coding RNA is filed under the name Homo sapiens (human). Its description in RNAcentral is "non-protein coding lnc-DHX37-19:1". Lineage: Eukaryota; Metazoa; Chordata; Mammalia; Primates; Hominidae. The record is from RNAcentral.